CAGGACAGGUACAGCACAGGCAGCGACAGUGCGAGCUUUCCUCACACCACCCCGUCCAUGUGUUUCAACCCUGACCUGGAGGGACCACCUCUAGA
Molecule: small RNA, 95 nt
Filed under: Cercocebus atys (sooty mangabey)
Lineage: Eukaryota; Metazoa; Chordata; Mammalia; Primates; Cercopithecidae
Description: TUC338 (ENSCATG00000006534.1)
Source: RNAcentral